This 372-nucleotide ribosomal RNA is filed under the name Notiocoelotes pseudolingulatus. RNAcentral's name for it is "partial 16S ribosomal RNA". Lineage: Eukaryota; Metazoa; Arthropoda; Arachnida; Araneae; Agelenidae. The record is from RNAcentral.
CUCAAUGAAAUUUCAAUAGCCGCAAUAGUGCUAAGGUAGCAUAAUCAUUUGUUUUUUAAUUAAAAACCAGAACGAAAGAUUUAACAUUUUUAUUACUCUUUUAUUUAUAAAUUUCCAACUUAUUUUAAAUAUAAAAAAAUAUUCAUAAAAAAAAAAGACGACAAGACCCUAUUGAACUUUACUUUAGUUAAACUGGGGCAGUUAAUCAAAUAUAAUUUUAAUUUCACUACAAAAAAAUCUAAAAAAUUAAAAACACCAAGUUACCAUAGGGAUAACAGCGUAAUAAUUUUCUAUAGAUCUUAUUUAAAAAAUAGUUUGCGACCUCGAUGUUGAAUUAAUAACCUAAUAACUGCAACAAUUUAUAAGGAAGUC